This 242-nucleotide unclassified non-coding RNA is filed under the name Hevea brasiliensis (rubber tree). The record is from RNAcentral. Lineage: Eukaryota; Viridiplantae; Streptophyta; Magnoliopsida; Malpighiales; Euphorbiaceae.
UGAGCAUUUAUUGCUAGCAGAAAAUGAAGUGGACACCUCGGAAUUCGAAGAAAUAAAUGCUUUGACUAGACCGGACAAGAUAAGGGAGGAGACCGGAGUGAUAGAGAUCGGAAGAGGGGAGGCCUGCGUGAAAGAUCAGAAAAGGAGCGUGUUAGGAAGACCGGAAAGGAGGAGAGAGUAGAGAGUAAGGGGAAUAAGACAACUGCCGCUAACCAUCAUCAGAAUCAGAGCCGAGGUAGUUA